UCGUGCCACAUUGAUUGAAGAGAUCUGUUGGGAUAGAUCCUCAUCGCUUAGCCGACCUCACGAAGUCAUUUGGAGGCCAACCUCAUGAGGAGGCCGACAUCAUCACAAAGAGGCCAACCUUAUGAAGUCCUUCGGAGGCCGACCUCACGAAGUCAUCUGGAUGCUGAGGCCGACUUUAUUAGGAGACUAAGACCGACCUC
RNAcentral lists this long non-coding RNA (200 nucleotides) under Elaeis guineensis (African oil palm). RNAcentral describes it as "long non-coding RNA (EGUI_LNC005454)". The record is from RNAcentral. Lineage: Eukaryota; Viridiplantae; Streptophyta; Magnoliopsida; Arecales; Arecaceae.